Molecule: ribosomal RNA, 497 nt
Filed under: uncultured bacterium
Lineage: Bacteria
Description: partial 16S ribosomal RNA
Rfam family: Bacterial small subunit ribosomal RNA
Source: RNAcentral
GAUGAACGCUGGCGGCGUGCCUAAUACAUGCAAGUCGAGCGAACAGACGAGGAGCUUGCUCCUCUGACGUUAGCGGCGGACGGGUGAGUAAAACGUGGAUAACCUACCUAUAAGACUGGGAUAACUUCGGGAAACCGGAGCUAAUACCGGAUAAUAUAUUGAACCGCAUGGUUCAAUAGUGAAAGACGGUUUUGCUGUCACUUAUAGAUGGAUCCGCGCCGCAUUAGCUAGUUGGUAAGGUAACGGCUUACCAAGGCAACGAUGCGUAGACGACCUGAGAGAGUGAUCGGCCACACUGGAACUGAGACACGGUCCAGACUCCUACGGGAGGCAGCAGUAGGGAAUCUUCCGCAAUGGGCGAAAGCCUGACGGAGCAACGCCGCGUGAGUGAUGAAGGUCUUCGGAUCGUAAAACUCUGUUAUUAGGGAAGAACAAAUGUGUAAGUAACUAUGCACGUCUUGACGGUACCUAAUCAGAAAGCCACGGCUAACUACGUG